RNAcentral lists this ribosomal RNA (765 nucleotides) under Pseudomonas costantinii. RNAcentral's name for it is "bacterial SSU rRNA". It matches the Rfam family "Bacterial small subunit ribosomal RNA", at positions 8 to 773 of the family's 1533-position model. Lineage: Bacteria; Pseudomonadati; Pseudomonadota; Gammaproteobacteria; Pseudomonadales; Pseudomonadaceae. The record is from RNAcentral.
AGAGUUUGAUCCUGGCUCAGAUUGAACGCUGGCGGCAGGCCUAACACAUGCAAGUCGAGCGGUAGAGAGAAGCUUGCUUCUCUUGAGAGCGGCGGACGGGUGAGUAAUGCCUAGGAAUCUGCCUGGUAGUGGGGGAUAACGUUCGGAAACGGACGCUAAUACCGCAUACGUCCUACGGGAGAAAGCAGGGGACCUUCGGGCCUUGCGCUAUCAGAUGAGCCUAGGUCGGAUUAGCUAGUUGGUGAGGUAAUGGCUCACCAAGGCGACGAUCCGUAACUGGUCUGAGAGGAUGAUCAGUCACACUGGAACUGAGACACGGUCCAGACUCCUACGGGAGGCAGCAGUGGGGAAUAUUGGACAAUGGGCGAAAGCCUGAUCCAGCCAUGCCGCGUGUGUGAAGAAGGUCUUCGGAUUGUAAAGCACUUUAAGUUGGGAGGAAGGGCAGUUGCCUAAUACGUAACUGUUUUGACGUUACCGACAGAAUAAGCACCGGCUAACUCUGUGCCAGCAGCCGCGGUAAUACAGAGGGUGCAAGCGUUAAUCGGAAUUACUGGGCGUAAAGCGCGCGUAGGUGGUUUGUUAAGUUGGAUGUGAAAUCCCCGGGCUCAACCUGGGAACUGCAUUCAAAACUGACUGACUAGAGUAUGGUAGAGGGUGGUGGAAUUUCCUGUGUAGCGGUGAAAUGCGUAGAUAUAGGAAGGAACACCAGUGGCGAAGGCGACCACCGGACGAUACGACACGAGGGCGAAAGCUUAGCACCCCCCU